AGAUGCGAUCACACAAGCACUAUUGCACCGGAUCCCAUCAGAACUCCGAAUUUAAGCUUGCUUAGGCGAGGGCAGUACUUGGGUGGGUGACCCCUUGGGAAGUCCUCGUGUUGCACCUA
Molecule: ribosomal RNA, 119 nt
Organism: Zingiber officinale
Lineage: Eukaryota; Viridiplantae; Streptophyta; Magnoliopsida; Zingiberales; Zingiberaceae
Source: RefSeq, a predicted model, not a curated record